UACGAAGGGGCUAGCGUUGCUCGGAAUCACUGGGCGUAAAGCGCACGUUAGGCGGCUUUUUAAGUCAGAGGUGAAAUCCUGGAGCUCAACUCCAGAACUGCCUUUGAGUAACUGGAGAGCUUGAGUCCGGGAGAGGGUGAGUGGAACUGCGAGUGUAGAGGUGAAAUUCGUAGAUAUUCGCAAGAACACCAGUGGCGAAGGCGACUCACUGGCCCGAUACUGACGCUGAGGCGCGAAAGCGUGGGGAGCAACAGG
This 255-nucleotide ribosomal RNA is filed under the name uncultured bacterium. Its description in RNAcentral is "partial 16S ribosomal RNA". It matches the Rfam family "Bacterial small subunit ribosomal RNA", at positions 524 to 775 of the family's 1533-position model. The record is from RNAcentral.